AAAACACUAGUAAAUUUGUCAUUACACUGCCUUGUCAAGGCAGAAUAGUGGGUUAAAUCCCCGCGUGUUUUG
RNAcentral lists this transfer RNA (72 nucleotides) under Terapon theraps (largescaled terapon). Its description in RNAcentral is "tRNA-Asp". It matches the Rfam family "tRNA". Rfam says of the family: Transfer RNA (tRNA) molecules are approximately 80 nucleotides in length. Their secondary structure includes four short double-helical elements and three loops (D, anti-codon, and T loops). Further hydrogen bonds mediate the characteristic L-shaped molecular structure. tRNAs have two regions of fundamental functional importance: the anti-codon, which is responsible for specific mRNA codon recognition, and the 3' end, to which the tRNAs corresponding amino acid is attached (by aminoacyl-tRNA synthetases). tRNAs cope with the degeneracy of the genetic code in two manners: having more than one tRNA (with a specific anti-codon) for a particular amino acid; and 'wobble' base-pairing, i.e. permitting non-standard base-pairing at the 3rd anti-codon position. Lineage: Eukaryota; Metazoa; Chordata; Actinopteri; Centrarchiformes; Terapontidae. The record is from RNAcentral.